This 405-nucleotide ribosomal RNA is filed under the name uncultured bacterium. RNAcentral describes it as "partial 16S ribosomal RNA". It matches the Rfam family "Bacterial small subunit ribosomal RNA", at positions 28 to 526 of the family's 1533-position model. The record is from RNAcentral.
GACGAACGCUGGCGGCGUGCUUAACACAUGCAAGUCGAGCGGAGCGGCGAACGGGUGAGUAACGCGUGAGUAACUGCCCCCCUCUCUGGGAUAACAGUUGGAAACGGCUGCUAAUACCGGAUAGUGGGGGAUGACUCGCGUCCUAUCAGCUUGUUGGUGGGGUAGUGGCGUGCCAAGGGGACGGCGGGCAGCCGGCCUGAGAGGCGGACCGGCCACAUUGGGCUGAGGUACGGCCCAAGCGCCGACGGGAGGCAGCAGUGGGGAAGAUUGCACAAUGGGGGAAGCCCUGAUGCAGCAACGCCGCGUGCGGGAUGACGGCCUUCGGGUUGUAAACCGCGUUCAGCCAUGACGCGGUAGUGGCAGAAGAAGCACCGGCUAACUCCGUGCCAGCAGCCGCGGUAAUAC